This 172-nucleotide ribosomal RNA is filed under the name uncultured Pseudomonadota bacterium. RNAcentral describes it as "uncultured proteobacterium partial 16S ribosomal RNA". It matches the Rfam family "Bacterial small subunit ribosomal RNA", at positions 335 to 524 of the family's 1533-position model. The record is from RNAcentral. Lineage: Bacteria; Pseudomonadati; Pseudomonadota. RNAcentral also lists the same sequence under 1 other name.
ACUCCUACGGGAGGCAGCAGUGGGGAAUAUUGGACAAUGGGCGAAAGCCUGAUCCAGCAAUGCCGCGUGAGUGAUGAAGGCCUUAGGGUUGUAAAGCUCUUUUACCCGGGAUGAUAAUGACAGUACCGGGAGAAUAAGCUCCGGCUAACUCCGUGCCAGCAGCCGCGGUAAU